CAGUAGCCGCGGGAAAACAGAGGGUGCGAGCGUUAAUUGGAUUUACUGGGCGUAAAGCGUGCGUAGGCGGCUAAUUGAGUCGGAUGUGAAAUCCCCGAGCUUAACUUGGGAAUUGCAUUCGAUACUGGGAAGCUAGAGUAUGGGAGAGGAUGGUAGAAUUCCAGGUGUAGCGGUGAAAUGCGUAGAGAUCUGGAGGAAUACCGAUGGCGAAGGCAGCCAUCUGGCCUAAUACUGACGCUGAGGUACGAAAGCAUAGGGAGCAAACAGGAUUAGAUACCCCCGUAGUCCCUGUCUCUUAUAC
This 301-nucleotide ribosomal RNA is filed under the name uncultured bacterium. Its description in RNAcentral is "partial 16S ribosomal RNA". It matches the Rfam family "Bacterial small subunit ribosomal RNA", at positions 509 to 807 of the family's 1533-position model. The record is from RNAcentral.